UACGUAGGGGGCAAGCGUUGUCCGGAAUUAUUGGGCGUAAAGGGUGCGUAGGCGGGUCUUUAAGUCAGGGGUGAAAUCCUGGAGCUCAACUCCAGAACUGCCUUUGAUACUGAGGAUCUUGAGUUCGGGAGAGGUGAGUGGAACUGCGAGUGUAGAGGUGAAAUUCGUAGAUAUUCGCAAGAGCACCAGUGGCGAAGGCGGCUCACUGGCCCGAUACUGACGCUGAGGCACGAAAGCGUGGGGAGCAAACAGG
RNAcentral lists this ribosomal RNA (253 nucleotides) under uncultured bacterium. RNAcentral's name for it is "partial 16S ribosomal RNA". It matches the Rfam family "Bacterial small subunit ribosomal RNA", at positions 524 to 776 of the family's 1533-position model. The record is from RNAcentral.